RNAcentral lists this unclassified non-coding RNA (222 nucleotides) under uncultured Gammaproteobacteria bacterium. RNAcentral describes it as "contains 16S-23S intergenic spacer region". Lineage: Bacteria; Pseudomonadati; Pseudomonadota; Gammaproteobacteria. The record is from RNAcentral.
UCCGGUUUGUCACCGGCAGUCCCAUUAGAGUGCCCAACUGAAUGUGGCAACUAAUGGCAAGGGUUGCGCUCGUUGCGGGACUUAACCCAACAUCUCACGACACGAGCUGACGACAGCCAUGCAGCACCUGUGUCCAGGUUCCCUUUCGGGCACACUCCCAUCUCUGGGAGCUUCCUGGCAUGUCAAGGGUAGGUAAGGUGGGGAUGACGUGUCCUUGAUAGG